AUACGAAGGGGGCAAGCGUUGUUCGGAAUAACUGGGCGUAAAGCGCACGUAGGCGGAUUGAUCAGUUAGAGGUGAAAUCCCAGGGCUCAACCCUGGAACUGCCUUUAAUACUGUCAGUCUAGAGAUCGAGAGAGGUGAGUGGAAUUCCGAGUGUAGAGGUGAAAUUCGUAGAUAUUCGGAGGAACACCAGUGGCGAAGGCGGCUCACUGGCUCGAUACUGACGCUGAGGUGCGAAAGCGUGGGGAGCAAACAGGAUUAGAAACCCCAGUAGUCC
Molecule: ribosomal RNA, 274 nt
Filed under: uncultured bacterium
Lineage: Bacteria
Description: partial 16S ribosomal RNA
Rfam family: Bacterial small subunit ribosomal RNA
Source: RNAcentral